AUGUUUACUCUGCCAGCUCCAAAAGGGUUGUUUCCACCUGAACCUGAACACUACCGAGGUCCCAAGCUCAAAGUGGCUAUAAUUGGAGCUGGGCUUGCAGGCAUGUCAAAAGCAUUUGAGCUUUUGGAUCAAUGCCACGAGGUUGGUCCAAUUUAUGUUUAUAGUCCACCGACUGCUCUCAAUUAUGUCUGGAUUACUUAUGAUAAAGCAAGAAAUGCAGUGGCUCUUGCAUUAGGUCCAGUUGUGAAGGCUCUGGUUGAUCCAGAUGGAGCAUUGAGGGAUGUACGGAAUUUGGAUAGUGUAAGAAUGAAAGCUAUCGCUAUCCUUUAUUUUGAUUUCUCUUGCUUUGCCGGCCUAGCACUUACUUCUCCGGAAGAUUACUACAUUGAGGGACAAGGUUCACUCCUCUAAUGCGUUUUGACACCAGGUGGUCCUUACAUACCUUUACCAAACGAAGAAAUUAUAGCAAGAGUGACGAAACAGGUUUUGGCUUUAUUCCCAUCAUCCCAAGGUAUAGAAGUCACUUGGUCAUCUGUUGCCAAAAUUUGGCAAUCUCUCUAUCAGGAGGCACCUGGAAAAGAUCCGUUUAGACCUGAUCAGAAGACACCUGUAAAAAAUUUCUUCCUUGCCGGCUCAUACACAAAACAAAUUUUCCGUGGUUGCCAUAUCGUACGAAGAAACGCCAAAAGAAGCAGAAUUAUCUUGAUCUUCUUUGGCACGACAAUGCUGGCUCUUCUGACGGCAUGGUGCCUCUGCAGCAGCAGCUAUUGUAUACUUAGCUAACAAGGGUAAUGCCAAGGCAAAUUGGUUUGCAAUAUGCCAACAAUUCAACUCCUGCGAGCGCAUCUCUGGCUCUUUAAUUUGAUCUUUUAUAAGAGUUGUUGUUUUUAUACUCCUAAUCUUGCGUUCAGCUGCGGCCCUCUCUCGACGUUGAGUGUCAGUCUCAUACAUUUUCAACGAUGCACAUGUAUACAUGUUGAUUUGUGCAUCAGUGCGUCAGUUCGUGUGUAUUGUAAGUGACAUGGAAUCCGUCGUGUGUCAGCUAAAAUGUUUCUUUUUUCUUUAUUUGAUAUGAAAAACGUAUGUAGUUCAUUUCAUUUCCUUGCCCAAUUAUUGUACUCAAUUCUAUUUACUGUAACUGGUUCGAUCUGCUACAAUGCAAACACUGUCUACCAUUUUAUUGGGUAUAAAUGGGAGACUACCUUCAUAAAAUGUUGCACUCAAACCUUUCAUGUCCCUCUAACUACUAUAAUACAUAUAUAGCUUUUUUUUUUCGACAGCAAGAAAAAUGGUAGCC
Molecule: non-coding RNA, 1297 nt
Organism: Prunus mume (Japanese apricot)
Lineage: Eukaryota; Viridiplantae; Streptophyta; Magnoliopsida; Rosales; Rosaceae
Source: RefSeq, a predicted model, not a curated record